RNAcentral lists this ribosomal RNA (468 nucleotides) under uncultured bacterium. RNAcentral's name for it is "partial 16S ribosomal RNA". It matches the Rfam family "Bacterial small subunit ribosomal RNA", at positions 28 to 507 of the family's 1533-position model. The record is from RNAcentral.
GACGAACGCUGGCGGCGUGCUUAACACAUGCAAGUCGAACGGAAAGGCCCUGCUUUUGUGGGGUGCUCGAGUGGCGAACGGGUGAGUAACACGUGAGUAACCUGCCCUUGACUUUGGGAUAACUUCGGGAAACCGGGGCUAAUACCGGAUAGGAGCUCCUGCUGCAUGGUGGGGGUUGGAAAGUUUCGGCGGUUGGGGAUGGACUCGCGGCUUAUCAGCUUGUUGGUGGGGUAGUGGCUUACCAAGGCUUUGACGGGUAGCCGGCCUGAGAGGGUGACCGGCCACAUUGGGACUGAGAUACGGCCCAGACUCCUACGGGAGGCAGCAGUGGGGAAUAUUGCACAAUGGGCGGAAGCCUGAUGCAGCAACGCCGCGUGCGGGAUGACGGCCUUCGGGUUGUAAACCGCUUUCGCCUGUGACGAAGCGUGAGUGACGGUAAUGGGUAAAGAAGCACCGGCUAACUACGUG